GGAGAAUCAGGAGGGGUCUUCUGUUUUCCCUAGAAUAGUUUACAGUGAAAAUGUAUUUAGGUUGUAUAUCUAUAAUUAAAUAUAGAAUUUUGACAGAAUUUAUCUCCCCUAACAGAAUUUUAAAUAGCGAAGUUUUUACUAACAUAAACAUGCAUUUAUAAAGAAUUCAUUCCAUGGAGGAGAAUGAGAGAUGUUAAUAAGUACAAACAAAUUAAUUAGAAAGAAUGAAUAAGACCUAGUAUUUGAAAGCACAACGGGACGACUAUAGGCAAUAAUAAUUGUACAUUUAAAAAUAACUAAAAGGGUGUAAUUGGAUUUUUGUAACAUAAGGGAUAAGUGCCUAGGGGGAUGGAUACCUCAUUUUCUGUGACAUGAUUAUUAUGCAUUGCAUGCCUGUGUCAAGACAUCUCAUGUACCCCAUAAAUAUAUAUGUCUACUAUGUACCCACA
This 449-nucleotide long non-coding RNA is filed under the name Homo sapiens (human). RNAcentral describes it as "HSALNT0211176". Lineage: Eukaryota; Metazoa; Chordata; Mammalia; Primates; Hominidae. The record is from RNAcentral.